CGGUAUCCAGCGAGAGUCGGUUUCCGCAAGGAAUUAAUAGGGAAUCCGCUGUGGCCCCAGGGUCACGAAACGGAACUGCCCCGCAACUGUAGGCGGCGAGCCCGGUCCAACAUGCCACUGGGAGCAAUCCCGGGAAGGCCGGACCAGGCGAUGACCCGCUAGUCAGGAGACCUGCCGGCGCGCGUAACCUUCCG
Molecule: non-coding RNA, 194 nt
Filed under: Rhodovastum atsumiense
Lineage: Bacteria; Pseudomonadati; Pseudomonadota; Alphaproteobacteria; Acetobacterales; Acetobacteraceae
Source: RNAcentral